GGCAACCACAUUGGAUGUCUUAAAUCUUUCAAAGGGACUGCAUUCUGGAUGGCUGCAGAGGUUUGCCUCAGUUUCCUCUAAAAUUUACAAGUCUUGCAUUAUUAGCUCUUUAAAAAAAAUGAAAAUAAAGGAAGAGAAAAAAGAAAUGCCUUGUCGAAGCAAUAACCAACCAUCAAUAAUUAGAGAAGUAUCUUAUAAUAUGAAGUCAUUAAUUAAUCCAAUUAUAAGUCUUUGGCUAUGUUGAUAUGCAUCUGUCAGUCGCAUUGGCUUGGCUACAUCUUUCAGAUGUAAGUAUUAGCUUUGGCUAUGUUGGAUUUAUUAUUUACCAUUUGUCUUUGUCCAAUUGGAAUUAUGUGGUUUUCUAUAUUCACAAUUUUGCCCUUUUGGCAUGUGUUUUACACUUUUACUGGUGGUUGAACGUUUUAUUUUGUUUACCUUUGUGGAACUUUAUGUCUAUAUUUUUCUGGAUAGAACUUUGUUUGUAUAUUAUUAACGAUUAUUUGUUCUGCUCAACAUAAUCAAACAGUAUGCACUCUUGUGCUGACAGCUCUUUAUUGUGCACCGUUUAGCUAUCCAUUUGUUUCUAUUACCAGUGUAAGUUCUCACUUUUUACCAUUAUCUUUCUGUACCAACACUUGAUAAGUAUUAAGGGGAACCUACAUGGUGUGUGACAUUUUCAUAUUGUUUCUUUUCUAUUUCAUUAAUAGUGGAGAUUUGUCCUAAAGAAAUGGAGUCUUUCAGCAAAUUUAAAAUACUUCAUUAUGAGUCAAAUUAUCUAAGUAAAUUCCUCAGGCAUUUUUUGUAUGGGGUUUUGUUCCUCAAUUGGAGUGUUUUGAUUAAGAUUAAUCUUCCUGUCACGACAGAUGCAUGUACUGGUUAGGAUUGCCAGGGGUAAACCUCUUCCAUGGGUAAUUCCUUGUCACAAAAUGCCCACGGUUUUAUCCUCAAAUUGUUAAAGUUAAUACAGCUAAUAGACCUCCAACUGCUAAACUGUUGGACCGUCUAUUUGUGAAGAUGCCUCUAUCAACCUUUCCAAGCCUUGCAUCUACACACUAGGUUGGAAUUCGGUCGUAAAGCAUUUUUUCAUCCUUACAUGGUUGCACAAAUUGAGGUGAUAUUAUACACUCGUUUGAAUUAGUUUCAAGUGUAAAAUGUAAUGUGUCAAUUAUCACAUUAUUCAUGUGGUAGAUGGCAAAAGGCUGUAGGAGCUAAGCGGUUUUGGAUGAAGAUGCCUGUACCACAUAUUAUUAUGGUAAACUACAUAAUCGUAUUGUACAUUUAGGAUUGGUUCAUACAAUUUCUCACCUUACUAUCACUUAAAUUAGUAGUAAUAUACCUGAUGCAACUUUUCAUUGUACAUGUCUAAUGUACUACCCUAUCUUACCAAAGAUGGAAUACCCUCUGCUAUGUAUCUUAAACAAAUUUUUUGUGCAAUUACUUUAUCGUAUAAGAUCAUACAGUAAGAUCGCUGAUUGGUCACUCUUGGUGCGAUGUUUGUCUCUCUUUUGCACUACCUAUAUUUAGCUGCUUAAUUUGAAGAACUGGUUAAUACUCUUGUUACUAGUAUAAUAUCUUCACUCCUGUUGCUUUUAUACCUCAUUGCAUGAUGCCGGUAUAUGUUUUCUCAUUCUCAUUUAGUCUUGUUUUAAUAAAACUCUUGCUGGAAUUUAACUGGGCAUUCAUCAUACAGAUGUACAGAGAUGUUUGUAUUUGCAUGAACUUUCAAAUGGCGAAAGAACUGGGUAUUGAACGAGAACACAGAGCAUCUGUUUAUUAGGAUCACCUGAUAAGAAAUUUCGGGAUUGGAGAGCAAGCUGGUUGCUAACACCAUCUUCUUGGUUGAACUUGGCUGUAUAAUUUGUUCUAAAAUGUAUUAUAUUAUAUAGCUCGAGUUGGAUUCGGCCUUUUCUUAUGAUUCUUUGUACUAGUAAAUUGUAUAUAUAUCAAGUGAUCUGAAUAUAGCUUAGUUCUUAAAAGAAAAACACAAGAUUCCACAAGGUUGUAAGUUGUAAUGAUAGGGUG
RNAcentral lists this long non-coding RNA (2022 nucleotides) under Panax ginseng (ginseng). RNAcentral describes it as "long non-coding RNA (PGIN_LNC016583)". Lineage: Eukaryota; Viridiplantae; Streptophyta; Magnoliopsida; Apiales; Araliaceae. The record is from RNAcentral.